Cydia splendana is the source of this 2662-nucleotide long non-coding RNA. RefSeq lists it as uncharacterized. The record is from RefSeq and is a predicted model, not a curated record. The transcript has 2 exons. NCBI's taxonomy places the organism in Eukaryota, Metazoa, Arthropoda, Insecta, Lepidoptera, Tortricidae.
UGACUGAACAUGUCUACUAGUUAAGUAAGUGUCGAUGUCGGCGACAAUGUUUGCUCCAUGACUAUGACAGGGUCAAUAACUGGCCAUAUCGAUGAUAAAAACGGAGCUGGAUGAUUUCGAUGACAAUGUCGGCGAUAAAGCUUGACUGACCACUUUGAUGACGAUAUAUAGAUGACGUUUAUAGUAAGAUUAAUUGAUGAUGGUAAUGAUUGACUGGUUCCAUGUGUAUAAUCAAUGAUUAAAUUGUUGACGAGGACUGAGACUAAAAUGAUCGUUGCUACUGCCAAUAAUUAUAACAUUUGUUUUUAUUUUUUUUAUGUUACAACGCUGGUAACCUGGCUGAAUGGAUGAAGUUGAUAAUGAGCGAGGGCUUCGCAGCAAGAGCUGACUGAAGUAAAGGAGGUUAAACUGUUAAGACGGUGCUGCCAGAAGUGGGCAGGGCCCAAGCUGCCGAUGGACAGGGCCACAGAGCGAGGAACCGACAUACAUACGUGCCGUGUUCAAGAUUACUGCCUUCUGCAUCUGAUCCUUGAUCCAGCGACCAGCGAGAGUAUCUACAGGUGUUGUUUUGGACUCUUAGCUGAUAAGAUUGCUAUUAUAUUAAUAUUAUGAAUCUAGAAUAUAACCGUUGAGUUUUGGCAGACUGUCUAGUGCAGGCCGUAAUGGCAGACUGUCUAGAGCAGGCCAUGACUGUUUAUUAUGUUAGUUUAUGCUUUGGCAAAGUUAGGUUCUUGUAAUAUGGGCCUUGUUGUCUGAUCCAAAUAAAUAUAUAUACAUAUUAGUUUAUACUUUGACAAACUGUCCAGCGCAGGCCUUGAAGGCAGACUGUCUGGGGCAGGUCGAUUGUUUAUGAUGAUUUAUACUUAGGCAGACUGUCUAGAACAGGCUUUGAUAGUAGCCUGUCUUCUAGAGCAGGCCAUAACAAAUUAAUUAAAAUAAUUAAUUAGGUAUGAAUGUGCAGACUGUCUAGAGCAAGCUUUGAUAACAGCCUGUCUUCUAGAGCAGGCCAAAACAAAUUAAUUCAAAUAAUUAAUUAGGUAUGAAUGUGCAGACUGUCUAGAGCAAGCUUUGAUAACAGCCUGUCUUCUAGAGCAGGCCAUAACAAAUUAAUUCAAAUAAUUAAUUAGGUAUGAAUGUGCAGACUGUCUAGAGCAAGCUUUGAUAACAGCCUGUCUUCUAGAGCAGGCCAUAACAAAUUAAUUAAAAUAAUUAAUUAGGUAUGAAUGUGCAGACUGUCUAGAACAGGCUUUGAUAGCAGACUGUCUUCUAGAGCAGGCCGUGAUGGCAGACUGUCUAGACAACUCAAGUCUAGAGCAGGCCAUAACAAUUUAUACUUUGGAAUGAUAUCUAGAGCAGGCCUUAAGGGCAGACUGUGAAUGUUUAUGAUGAAUUAUACUUUGUCAAACUAUAGAGUAAGCCUAAAUGGCAGACUGUGAUUGUUUAUGAUAAAUUAUACUUUGCCAAACUAUUUAGAGCAGGCCUAAAUGGCAGACUGAUUGUUUUGAUGAAUUAUGUUUUGCAAAUCAUUUAAAGCAGGUCUUAAUACUGUGAUUGUUUAUGAUGAAUUAUGUUUUGCCAAACUAUUUAGAGCAGGCCUAAAUGGUCUUAAUACUGUGAUUGUUUAUGAUGAAUUAUGUUUUGCCAAACUAUUUAGAGCAGGCCUAAAUGGCAGACUGAUUGUUUUGAUGAAUUAUGUUUUGCAAAUCAUUUAAAGCAGGUCUUAAUACUGUGAUUGUUUAUGAUGAAUUAUGUUUUGCCAAACUAUUUAGAGCAGGCCUAAAUGGCAGACUGAUUGUUUUGAUGAAUUAUGUUUUGCAAAUCAUUUAAAGCAGGUCUUAAUACUGUGAUUGUUUAUGAUGAAUUAUGUUUUGCCAAACUAUUUAGAGCAGGCCUAAAUGGUCUUAAUACUGUGAUUGUUUAUGAUGAAUUAUGUUUUGCUAAACUAUUUAGAGCAGGCCUUAUAAGGGUAGACUGUCAUUGUUUAUGACGUUUUAUACUUUGCCAUACUGUUUAGAGCAGGCCUUGAGGGCAGAUUGUGAAUGUUAAUGUUGGCUUAUACUUUGGCAGAUGUCUAGACCAGACCAAGACUGUAAGUUAGUUCAUAUGUAUUGAAAGUUUAUUGAAAGAAGGCUAUUAAUGCUACCAGGUGCUGGUUGUAUUAAAUUACUGUUUAGUGUUUAUAUGAUCUCAGGUUAUAGCAUGUGAAGAUUGUGAAGUGUGAAGACUGAUUUCUCAAUAAGGUUAAUAUAUGCAACUAGUCAUUGGUUGUGUGAUUGACUAAUAAAAGUCUAUAGUCAGUCAAGUUUACAAAAACUGUUCUUAUGAAUGUUUGUUUGAUAUCGAUAAAGUUGUUAUGAUAUAUUGCUGUUGUUAUUAAUGUACAAUUGUUUUUAGUGAGAGGACUCACUAUAAAUAAAAGGACGGCCGAGUUGUAAGCAUCACAAUAGUUGAUAUCCUGUAUGUUACUUUAUACUGAUAAUAAUCACAUGUAGUAUGCACCUGACUUUAUACUUUUUGGUUAUUGUAUCUAUGGUCAUGUUUGUUGAGGGAGAACUGUCAGAUUUUGGCGGCGCUUCAUUGCCAGAGGUUAUGUUGGAUUUGUUCCUUUGUAAUCUUAUAAUUAAUCCUGUAUGUCGCUGUAAUAAAAGAAAUAUUACUGGAA